GCUUACGGCCACACCGCCUGGUUCACCCCGAUCUCGGAAGCUAACAUAGGUUGGGCCUGGUUAGUACUUGGAUGGGAGACCGCCUGGGAAUACCAGGUGCUGUAAGCU
Molecule: ribosomal RNA, 108 nt
Filed under: Scophthalmus maximus (turbot)
Lineage: Eukaryota; Metazoa; Chordata; Actinopteri; Pleuronectiformes; Scophthalmidae
Source: RNAcentral